Molecule: ribosomal RNA, 445 nt
Filed under: uncultured bacterium
Lineage: Bacteria
Description: bacterial SSU rRNA
Rfam family: Bacterial small subunit ribosomal RNA
Source: RNAcentral
AACGCGAAGAACCUUACCAGCUCUUGACAUGGGACGUUUGGAACCGAGAGAUCGGUUUCUUCAGUUCGGCUGGCGUCCACACAGGUGCUGCAUGGCUGUCGUCAGCUCGUGUCGUGAGAUGUUGGGUUAAGUCCCGCAACGAGCGCAACCCUCACCUUCAGUUGCCAUCAGGUUAAGCUGGGCACUCUGAAGGAACUGCCGGUGACAAGCCGGAGGAAGGCGGGGAUGACGUCAAGUCCUCAUGGCCUUUAUGGGCUGGGCUACACACGUGCUACAAUGGCGGUGACAGAGGGAAGCAAAGAGGCAACUCCUCGCCAAUCUCAAAAAGCCGUCUCAGUUCGGAUUGUUCUCUGCAACUCGAGAGCAUGAAGCUGGAAUCGCUAGUAAUCGCGGAUCAGCACGCCGCGGUGAAUACGUUCCCGGGCCUUGUACACACCGAGACGAC